RNAcentral lists this ribosomal RNA (481 nucleotides) under uncultured bacterium. RNAcentral's name for it is "bacterial SSU rRNA". It matches the Rfam family "Bacterial small subunit ribosomal RNA", at positions 329 to 802 of the family's 1533-position model. The record is from RNAcentral.
AUCGUAACUCCUACGGGAGGCAGCGGUGGGGAAUUUUGGACAAUGGGGGCAACCCUGAUCCAGCAAUGCCGCGUGAGUGAAGAAGGCCUUCGGGUUGUAGAGCUCUUUUGUCAGGGAAGAAACGGUAAUAGCUAAUAUCUAUUACUAAUGACGGUACCUGAAGAAUAAGCACCGGCUAACCACGUGCCAGCAGCCGCGGUAAUACGUAGGGUGCAAGCGUUAAUCGGAAUUACUGGGCGUAAAGCGUGCGCAGGCGGUUGUGUAAGUCAGAUGUGAAAUCCCCGGGCUCGACCUGGGAAUUGCACUUGAGACUGCACGGCUAGAGUGUGUCAGAGGGGGGUAGAAUUCCACGUGUAGCAGUGAAAUGCGUAGAUAUGUGGAGGAAUACCGAUGGCGAAGGCAGCCCCCUGGGAUAACACUGACGCUCAUGCACGAAAGCGUGGGGAGCAAACAGGAUUAGAUACCCGGGUAGUCCUAGAGC